Molecule: ribosomal RNA, 486 nt
Filed under: uncultured bacterium
Lineage: Bacteria
Description: partial 16S ribosomal RNA
Rfam family: Bacterial small subunit ribosomal RNA
Source: RNAcentral
AUUGAACGCUGGCGGCAUGCCUUGCACAUGCAAGUCGAACGGCAGCACGGGUGCUUGCACCUGGUGGCGAGUGGCGAACGGGUGAGUAAUACAUCGGAACAUGUCCUGUAGUGGGGGAUAGCCCGGCGAAAGCCGGAUUAAUACCGCAUACGAUCUACGGGUGAAAGCGGGGGACCUUCGGGCCUCGCGCUAUAGGGUUGGCCGAUGGCUGAUUAGCUAGUUGGUGGGGUAAAGGCCUACCAAGGCGACGAUCAGUAGCUGGUCUGAGAGGACGACCAGCCACACUGGGACUGAGACACGGCCCAGACUCCUACGGGAGGCAGCAGUGGGGAAUUUUGGACAAUGGGCGAAAGCCUGAUCCAGCAAUGCCGCGUGUGUGAAGAAGGCCUUCGGGUUGUAAAGCACUUUUGUCCGGAAAGAAAUCCUUGGCCCUAAUACGGUCGGGGGAUGACGGUACCGGAAGAAUAAGCACCGGCUAACUACGUG